This 326-nucleotide ribosomal RNA is filed under the name Cercomonas sp. Its description in RNAcentral is "SSU rRNA". The stretch from base 84 to 326 matches the Rfam family "Eukaryotic small subunit ribosomal RNA", at positions 711 to 955 of the family's 1831-position model. The record is from RNAcentral. Lineage: Eukaryota; Cercozoa; Cercomonadida; Cercomonadidae.
GAUUUCUGGUAUGGCGCACUUGGCCCGCCGAGGUUACUCGGUAGUGUGCCGGUGUGCGCCUGCCAUCCAUCUGGGGGAACGGGCCCUGCCCUUCACUGGGUUUGGGUUCGGUAAUCCAGAUCGUUUACUUUGAAAAAAUUAGAGUGUUUAAAGCAGGCUUACGCUAUGAAUACAUUAGCAUGGAAUAAUAAUUUAGGACUUUGGUCUUAUUUUGUUGGUUUCUAGGACUAAAGUAAUGAUUGAUAGGGACAGUUGGGGGUGCUAGUAUUCAGCGGCCAGAGGUGAAAUUCUUGGAUUCGCUGAAGACUAACUUAUGCGAAAGCAUU